This 763-nucleotide ribosomal RNA is filed under the name uncultured Streptococcus sp. RNAcentral's name for it is "bacterial SSU rRNA". It matches the Rfam family "Bacterial small subunit ribosomal RNA", at positions 28 to 776 of the family's 1533-position model. The record is from RNAcentral. Lineage: Bacteria; Bacillati; Bacillota; Bacilli; Lactobacillales; Streptococcaceae.
GACGAACGCUGGCGGCGUGCCUAAUACAUGCAAGUAGAACGCUGAAGGAGGAGCUUGCUCUUCUGGAUGAGUUGCGAACGGGUGAGUAACGCGUAGGUAACCUGCCUGGUAGCGGGGGAUAACUAUUGGAAACGAUAGCUAAUACCGCAUAAGAGUAGAUGUUGCAUGACAUUUACUUAAAAGGUGCAAUUGCAUCACUACCAGAUGGAUCUGCGUUGUAUUAGCUAGUUGGUGGGGUAACGGCUCACCAAGGCGACGAUACAUAGCCGACCUGAGAGGGUGAUCGGCCACACUGGGACUGAGACACGGCCCAGACUCCUACGGGAGGCAGCAGUAGGGAAUCUUCGGCAAUGGACGGAAGUCUGACCGAGCAACGCCGCGUGAGUGAAGAAGGUUUUCGGAUCGUAAAGCUCUGUUGUAAGGGAAGAACGAGUGUGAGAGUGGAAAGUUCACACUGUGACGGUAUCUUACCAGAAAGGGACGGCUAACUACGUGCCAGCAGCCGCGGUAAUACGUAGGUCCCGAGCGUUGUCCGGAUUUAUUGGGCGUAAAGCGAGCGCAGGCGGUUAGAUAAGUCUGAAGUUAAAGGCUGUGGCUUAACCAUAGUACGCUUUGGAAACUGUUUAACUUGAGUGCAAGAGGGGAGAGUGGAAUUCCAUGUGUAGCGGUGAAAUGCGUAGAUAUAUGGAGGAACACCGGUGGCGAAAGCGGCUCUCUGGCUUGUAACUGACGCUGAGGCUCGAAAGCGUGGGGAGCAAACAGG